Molecule: ribosomal RNA, 439 nt
Filed under: uncultured bacterium
Lineage: Bacteria
Description: partial 16S ribosomal RNA
Rfam family: Bacterial small subunit ribosomal RNA
Source: RNAcentral
CUACGGGAGGCAGCAGUGGGGAAUCUUGGACAAUGGGCGCAAGCCUGAUCCAGCCAUGCCGCGUGAGUGAAGAAGGCCUUAGGGUCGUAAAGCUCUUUCGCCAGAGAUGAUAAUGACAGUAUCUGGUAAAGAAACCCCGGCUAACUCCGUGCCAGCAGCCGCGGUAAUACGGAGGGGGUUAGCGUUGUUCGGAAUUACUGGGCGUAAAGCGCGCGUAGGCGGAUUAGUCAGUCAGAGGUGAAAUCCCAGGGCUCAACCCUGGAACUGCAUUUGAUACUGCUAGUCUUGAGUUCGAGAGAGGUGAGUGGAAUUCCGAGUGUAGAGGUGAAAUUCGUAGAUAUUCGGAGGAACACCAGUGGCGAAGGCGGCUCACUGGCUCGAUACUGACGCUGAGGUGCGAAAGUGUGGGGAGCAAACAGGAUUAGAUACCCGAGUAGUC